Pelobates cultripes (western spadefoot toad) is the source of this 213-nucleotide non-coding RNA. NCBI's taxonomy places the organism in Eukaryota, Metazoa, Chordata, Amphibia, Anura, Pelobatidae. The record is from the annotation of a GenBank genome assembly.
CUCCCAUGAAGCUCAGGCAGCCAGGCAGGUGAAGCACCAGGUAAGACUCGUCCACAGCAAUUGCUCACAUUCCUGCUCCCUACUUUGGCCACUCACUCACUCAGUCAGUCACUCACUCACUCACUCACUCACUGAGUCCUGCUGGUCGUUAUCUCCCCAGCGCGUGUCUGUCACUCGCAAUGAAAACAAAGCAUGACAUUACCUGUGACUUUC